GCUAGGGUGCCAGGGGGCGGGGCCUGCUCUCCACACUUUUCCCUAAUUCCCCACUUCCCUCCGAGUCCUCUCUCACCUUUUCUCCAUCACCCUGCCUCCGACAACAGACAACAGUCAGCUUUGAGGUUGGCGGGGUCCGCUGUGGCUGCAGCUCUGCUCUUCCCUCUGAUAGAACUCCCCCUGUGUCCACCUCAGCGGCCCCUGGCCGACCGCCCACACCGUGCAGCUCAAGCCCAGAGCCACGGGCCCAAGGGAAUGCCCAGGCGCGGGUGCCCACGGUGUCCCCCAGGCCUCUCCAGGGCCCUCCAGCCUCCUGGAGACUCUGCUUGUGAGGAGGCACAGCUGGGAACAGAGGACCCUGGAGCCCAAAGUUGCAGGACAGGAGAGGGGCCUGGGGUCAGGGAGGUGGUACUCACCCUUGGCCGGGAGGGGCUUCUCCCUUGGAUGGAAACCCAGCCUUCAUUUUAAUAAAAGGGCUACUAAUGCGUGUUAGGCUCUCUGGGGUGGGUUGUUCUGUAAUGAAAUGAAGACCUUGUUUAGCGCCUCUGGACAAGGCUUAUGCUUUCUUUAUGGAAUCUUCGGGCUUUAGAGCUGAACAGAACUCAAGCCAUCACUGUGCUCUCCCAGCCAUCCACCCAGGGGCCCUGGGUGCCAGGAGGUUCUGCAUUUAACCAGAAGAUUCUGCUGAAUGAAGAAUAUUCGACGUAUUCCUUUGUGUCUUCACAUGCCUCCAAGGUUGAAUUUCUGGGACUCAGAAAUACAGAUACAGCAGCAUCUCCCAUUUCACGGAUGAGGUCUUACCAGGAGCACAGUCUCAAGGACUUAACUUGUCUCCAGCUUGGUCUUGGAAAGAAAUAUUUUAUCCCCGGGUGCAAACACAGAAAACAGGUA
Long non-coding RNA from Felis catus (domestic cat), 891 nucleotides. RefSeq lists it as uncharacterized. The record is from RefSeq and is a predicted model, not a curated record. The transcript has 3 exons. Lineage: Eukaryota; Metazoa; Chordata; Mammalia; Carnivora; Felidae.